RNAcentral lists this small RNA (78 nucleotides) under Prosthecodimorpha hirschii. Its description in RNAcentral is "Prosthecomicrobium hirschii Makes More Granules Regulator RNA (mmgR)". It matches the Rfam family "Makes More Granules Regulator RNA (mmgR)". Rfam says of the family: SuhB later renamed mmgR (makes more granules regulator) was a putative non-coding RNA found multiple times in the Agrobacterium tumefaciens genome and related alpha-proteobacteria. The record is from Rfam by way of RNAcentral. Lineage: Bacteria; Pseudomonadati; Pseudomonadota; Alphaproteobacteria; Hyphomicrobiales; Ancalomicrobiaceae.
CCUGGCAGCCCUCCUUGGGCGUUUCCUCCCUAGACUUGGGCCGCUGACAGCCGUCAGCGGCCUUUUUUCUUGUGCAGU